UAUAGAGGGGAAUAGCCCAGAGAAAUUUGGAUUAAUGCCCCAUAGUAUUAUCGAUUAGCAUUAAUUGAUGAUUAAACAUUUAUGGCUAUAAGAUGGGUAUGCGUUCUAUUAGCUAGAUGGUAAGGUAACGGCUUACCAUGGCUACGAUAGAUAGGGGUCCUGAGAGGGAGAUCCCCCACACUGGUACUGAGACACGGACCAGACUCCUACGGGAGGCAGCAGUGAGGAAUAUUGGACAAUGGGCGAGAGCCUGAUCCAGCCAUGCCGCGUGCAGGAAGACGGCCCUAUGGGUUGUAAACUGCUUUUAUACAGGAAGAAACACUCCCUUGCGAGGGAGCUUGACGGUACUGUACGAAUAAGGAUCGGCUAACUCCGUGCCAGCAGCCGCGGUAAUACGGAGGAUCCAAGCGUUAUCCGGAAUCAUUGGGUUUAAAGGGUCCGUAGGCGGGACAAUCAGUCAGCGGUGAAAGUCUGUGGCUCAACCAUAGAAUUGCCAUUGAUACUGUUGUUCUUGAAUACUUAUGAAGUGGUUGGAAUAUGUAGUGUAGCGGUGAAAUGCAUAGAUAUUACAUAGAACACCGAUUGCGAAGGCAGAUCACUAAUAAUUUAUUGACGCUGAUGGACGAAAGCGUGGGUAGCGAACAGGAUUAGAUACCCUGGUAGUCCACGCCGUAAACGAUGGUUACUAGCUGUUCGGUCGCAAGACUGAGUGGCUAAGCGAAAGUGAUAAGUAACCCACCUGGGGAGUACGUUCGCAAGAAUGAAACUCAAAGGAAUUGACGGGGGCCCGCACAAGCGGUGGAGCAUGUGGUUUAAUUCGAUGAUACGCGAGGAACCUUACCAGGGCUUAAAUGUAGAUUGACAGGGGUGGAAACACCUUUUCCUUCGGGCAAUUUACAAGGUGCUGCAUGGUUGUCGUCAGCUCGUGCCGUGAGGUGUCAGGUUAAGUCCUAUAACGAGCGCAACCCCUGUUGUUAGUUGCCAGCGAGUCAAGUCGGGAACUCUAACAAGACUGCCAGUGCAAACUGUGAGGAAGGUGGGGAUGACGUCAAAUCAUCACGGCCCUUACGUCCUGGGCCACACACGUGCUACAAUGGUAGGGACAGAGAGCAGCCACUGCGCAAGCAGGAGCGAAUCUAUAAACCCUAUCUCAGUUCGGAUCGGAGU
Molecule: ribosomal RNA, 1167 nt
Filed under: Gillisia sp. Hel_I_41
Lineage: Bacteria; Pseudomonadati; Bacteroidota; Flavobacteriia; Flavobacteriales; Flavobacteriaceae
Description: bacterial SSU rRNA
Rfam family: Bacterial small subunit ribosomal RNA
Source: RNAcentral